This 377-nucleotide unclassified non-coding RNA is filed under the name uncultured Planctomycetota bacterium. RNAcentral describes it as "uncultured planctomycete contains 16S-23S intergenic spacer region". The record is from RNAcentral. Lineage: Bacteria; Pseudomonadati; Planctomycetota.
UCCCAUUCGACACGGGCAGUCCGACUAGAGUGCCCCUUUCGGGUCGCAACUAGUCGCAGGGGUUUCGCUCGUUACGGGACUUAACCCAACAUCUCACGACACGAGCUGACGACAGCCAUGCAACACCUGAUGAAGGCUCCCCUUGCGGGGUCGUUACCGUUUCCGGUUUCUACCACCUCCACUUCAAGCCCGGGUAAGGUUCUUCGCGUUGCAUCGAAUUGAACCACAUGCUCCACCGCUUGUGCGAGCCCCCGUCAAUUCCUUUGAGUUUUAACCUUGCGGCCGUACUCCCCAGGCGGGACACUUAACGCGUUAGCUGCAGCAGAGAAAAGCAAGCCUUCCUCCACUCAGUGUCCAUCGUUUACGGCUGGGACUAC